GUACAAAAUUCAAAGUCGUCUUGUUGAGUCUCAUUGUCUGUAACUUGCUUUCACCCAAAACCACAGCUCACAAUGGCCUGUCACCUUUAUCAUUGUCACUUUGUGUCUAU
Amblyraja radiata (thorny skate) is the source of this 110-nucleotide long non-coding RNA. RefSeq lists it as uncharacterized. The transcript has 3 exons. The record is from RefSeq and is a predicted model, not a curated record. Lineage: Eukaryota; Metazoa; Chordata; Chondrichthyes; Rajiformes; Rajidae.